This 545-nucleotide ribosomal RNA is filed under the name uncultured bacterium. RNAcentral's name for it is "bacterial SSU rRNA". It matches the Rfam family "Bacterial small subunit ribosomal RNA", at positions 777 to 1319 of the family's 1533-position model. The record is from RNAcentral.
AAUAGAUACCCGGGUAGUCCACGCCGUAAACGAUGAGUGCUAAGUGUUGGGGGGUUUCCGCCCCUCAGUGCUGCAGCUAACGCAUUAAGCACUCCGCCUGGGGAGUACGGUCGCAAGACUGAAACUCAAAGGAAUUGACGGGGGCCCGCACAAGCGGUGGAGCAUGUGGUUUAAUUCGAAGCAACGCGAAGAACCUUACCAGGUCUUGACAUCCCGGUGACCACUAUGGAGACAUAGUUUCCCCUUCGGGGGCAACGGUGACAGGUGGUGCAUGGUUGUCGUCAGCUCGUGUCAUGAGAUGUUGGGUUAAGUCCCGCAACGAGCGCAACCCUUAUUCUUAGUUGCCAUCAUUCAGUUGGGCACUCUAAGGAGACUGCCGGUGAUAAACCGGAGGAAGGUGAGGAUGGACGUCAAAUCAUCAUGCCCCUUAUGACCUGGGCUACACACGUGCUACAAUGGACGGUACAAACGGUUGCCAACCCGCGAGGGGGAGCUAAUCCGAUAAAACCGUUCUCAGUUCGGAUUGUAGGCUGCAACUCGCCUAC